UAACUAUAAUAAUGCUAAGGUGCCUUUAAAAAGGCUUAAUAGGGAAGUUUGGUGAGAAACCAACGCAGCCCCCGCUACUGUAAGCGAAGACGAAUCUUGCAGCCCACUGGCCUUGCCGGGAAGGGAAGAUUAGGAUGACGCGCGAGCCAGGAGACCUGCCUUGCAUUGAUGCUGUGC
Molecule: non-coding RNA, 177 nt
Filed under: Peptoclostridium acidaminophilum
Lineage: Bacteria; Bacillati; Bacillota; Clostridia; Peptostreptococcales; Peptoclostridiaceae
Also listed under: 1 other name
Source: RNAcentral